GCCAGGCACAUGGUGGCAUGUGCCUAUAGUCCCAGCUACUUGGGAGGCUGAGGUGGGAGGAUCACUUGAGCCCAGAAGUACAAGGCUGCAGUGAGCCAUGAUUGUGCCACUGCACUCUAGCCUGGGCAACAGAGUGAGACCCUAACUCUA
This 150-nucleotide small RNA is filed under the name Pongo abelii (Sumatran orangutan). RNAcentral's name for it is "Metazoan signal recognition particle RNA (ENSPPYG00000039775.1)". It matches the Rfam family "Metazoan signal recognition particle RNA". From Rfam's summary of the family: The signal recognition particle (SRP) is a universally conserved ribonucleoprotein. It is involved in the co-translational targeting of proteins to membranes. The record is from Rfam by way of RNAcentral. Lineage: Eukaryota; Metazoa; Chordata; Mammalia; Primates; Hominidae.